Long non-coding RNA from Cyanistes caeruleus (blue tit), 345 nucleotides. The record is from Ensembl. NCBI's taxonomy places the organism in Eukaryota, Metazoa, Chordata, Aves, Passeriformes, Paridae.
UAUACUGCAAAUUCAUCCACCAUGGGCUCCUCAAGGUGGCCUCUGACUUGCUUUGAAUUUGUGCAGGUAAAAGAUUUCACUGCAAGGACCAAAUGAAUGUCACAGAAGACCUCACAAGUACAGAGUGGAAAGAUUUUGUAGGUUCUAGCUAUCAGAUGAACUCCCAUGGGAAAUUCAAACUGAGAAGGUACAACAAGAUCAACAAACAAUGCUGACUUGCAUAAGAACUGGAAAAACCACAGCAAAACCCAUGAAAAAAGGAGAAAGGUUGGAGGACAGCUGCCCUUGCAAAUCCACAAGGGAAAAGAAAGGCAAUCUUUUGGUUCAUUUUUUUGGAAAUUAAAC